UGGGGAAUAUUGCACAAUGGGGGAAACCCUGAUGCAGCGACGCCGCGUGAGCGAAGAAGGCUUUCGAGUCGUAAAGCUCUGUCCUAUGAGAAGAUAAUGACGGUAUCAUAGGAGGAAGCCCUGGCUAAAUACGUGCCAGCAGCCGCGGUAAUACGUAUGGGGCGAGCGUUGUCCGGAAUUAUUGGGCGUAAAGGGUACGUAGGCGGUUUUUUAAGUCAGGUGUCAAAGCGUGGAGCUUAACUGGGGGCGUGCGGUGGGUACGGGUUGACUUGAGUGCGGUAGGGGAGACUGGAAUUCCUGGUGUAGCGGUGGAAUGCGCAGAUAUCAGGAGGAACACCGGUGGCGAAGGCGGGUCUCUGGGCCGUUACUGACGCUGAGGAGCGAAAGCGUGGGGAGCGAACAGG
This 404-nucleotide ribosomal RNA is filed under the name Verrucomicrobiota bacterium. RNAcentral describes it as "Verrucomicrobia bacterium partial 16S ribosomal RNA". It matches the Rfam family "Bacterial small subunit ribosomal RNA", at positions 355 to 776 of the family's 1533-position model. The record is from RNAcentral. Lineage: Bacteria; Pseudomonadati; Verrucomicrobiota.